AUUUGACGUUAGCUGCAGAAGAAGCACCGGCUAACUCCGUGCCAGCAGCCGCGGUAAUACGGAGGGUGCGAGCGUUAAUCGGAAUUACUGGGCGUAAAGCGCAUGCAGGUGGUUUGUUAAGUCAGAUGUGAAAGCCCGGGGCUCAACCUCGGAAUUGCAUUUGAAACUGGCAAACUAGAGUACUGUAGAGGGGGUAGAAUUUCAGGUGUAGCGGUAGAAAUGCGUAGAGAUCUGAAGGAAUACCGGUGGCGAAGGCGGCCCCCCUGGACAGAUACUGACACUCAGAUGACGAAAGCGUGGGGAGCAAACAGGAUUAGAUACCCUGGUAG
This 329-nucleotide ribosomal RNA is filed under the name uncultured bacterium. RNAcentral's name for it is "bacterial SSU rRNA". It matches the Rfam family "Bacterial small subunit ribosomal RNA", at positions 467 to 793 of the family's 1533-position model. The record is from RNAcentral.